GGGGGGGAAGCCAACGGUACGGCAAGCCUUCCCCUGGCAGGGGAAGGUGCCCCGCAAAGCGGGGCGGAUGAGGUCGAAUCUUCCCCCCCCU
RNAcentral lists this transfer RNA (91 nucleotides) under Candidatus Anaerofilum faecale. RNAcentral describes it as "tRNA-Ala". Lineage: Bacteria; Bacillati; Bacillota; Clostridia; Eubacteriales; Oscillospiraceae. The record is from RNAcentral.